Molecule: ribosomal RNA, 776 nt
Filed under: uncultured Neocallimastigales
Lineage: Eukaryota; Fungi; Neocallimastigomycota; Neocallimastigomycetes; Neocallimastigales
Description: partial large subunit ribosomal RNA
Rfam family: Eukaryotic large subunit ribosomal RNA
Source: RNAcentral
UACUAGAGUAGCACUCGCAUAUCAAUAAGCGGAGGAAAAGAAACUAACUAAGGAUUCCCCUAGUAACGGCGAGUGAAGCGGGAAGAGCUCAAAUUUGAAAUCUUAAAGGGUUUCCCUUUACGAAUUGUAGUUUAAAGAAGUGUUUUCUGUUGAGGUUUUGGUAAAAGUUCUUUGGAAUAGGACAUCAUAGAGGGUGAGAAUCCCGUAUUUGACCUUUACUUUCAACUUUGUGAUACACUUUCAAAGAGUCGGAUUGUUUGGGAAUGCAGUCCAAAAUGGGUGGUAAAUUUCAUCUAAAGCUAAAUAUUGGCGAGAGACCUGAUAGCGAACAAGUACCGUGAGGGAAAGAUGAAAAGAACUUUGAAAAGAGAGUUAAACAGUACGUGAAAUUGUCAAAAGGGAAGCGUUUGACACCAGUGUUGUUUUUCUGAAAAUCAAUUAAAGAACUGUUUAUGCUAAGCUGUUUAGACUUUAUCAGCUAUCUGUUUAGUUUUAGGCUUUUCUUUAAUGCACUUUUCAGUUAACAAGUCAACAUCAAUUUCUUUUGCUGUAAAAAAGCUUGAGGAAGGUGGCUUGAGAUUCGUCUUAAGUGUUUAUAGCCUCUUGCCUAUGCAGUCGGAGAGAUUGAGGUCUGCAGCGUAGAUCCUUCGGGGCUAAAUGCAUUUGUGCUAAGUUAUAGCAUUUUAUAGACAACUUGUUGACUAUGAUUUGUCUUGUAGCUUACUCGCUUAUGUUAUUUUACCUACGCUUAGGAUGUUGAGCGCAUGUCUCUCUCU